UACAGAGGAUGCAAGCGUUAUCCGGAAUGAUUGGGCGUAAAGCGUCUGUAGGUGGCUUUUUAAGUCCGCCGUCAAAUCCCAGGGCUCAACUCUGGACAGGCGGUGGAAACUACCAAGCUGGAGUACGGUAGGGGCAGAGGGAAUUUCCGGUGGAGCGGUGAAAUGCGCAGAUAUCAGGAGGAACACCGAUUGCGAAGGCAGCUCGCUGGGACGUAACUGACGCUGAGACGCGAAAGCGUGGGGAGCAAACAGG
RNAcentral lists this ribosomal RNA (253 nucleotides) under uncultured bacterium. RNAcentral describes it as "partial 16S ribosomal RNA". It matches the Rfam family "Bacterial small subunit ribosomal RNA", at positions 524 to 776 of the family's 1533-position model. The record is from RNAcentral.